CCUACGGGAGGCAGCAGUGAGGAAUAUUGGUCAAUGGGCGUAAGCCUGAACCAGCCGAGUCGCGUGAGGGAUGAAGGUUCUAUGGAUCGUAAACCUCUUUUAUAAGGGAAUAAAGUGUGGGACGUGUCCUGUUUUGUAUGUACCUUAUGAAUAAGGAUCGGCUAACUCCGUGCCAGCAGCCGCGGUAAUACGGAGGAUCCGAGCGUUAUCCGGAUUUAUUGGGUUUAAAGGGUGCGUAGGCGGCCUUUUAAGUCAGCGGUGAAAGUGUGUGGCUCAACCAUAGAAUUGCCGUUGAAACUGGUAGUCUUGAGUAUGUUUGAGGUAGGCGGAAUGCGUGGUGUAGCGGUGAAAUGCUUAGAUAUCACGCAGAACCCCGAUUGCGAAGGCAGCCUGCCAAGCCAUGACUGACGCUGAUGCACGAAAGCGUGGGGAUCAAACAGGAUUAGAUACCCCUGUAGUC
RNAcentral lists this ribosomal RNA (460 nucleotides) under uncultured bacterium. RNAcentral's name for it is "partial 16S ribosomal RNA". It matches the Rfam family "Bacterial small subunit ribosomal RNA", at positions 338 to 795 of the family's 1533-position model. The record is from RNAcentral.